GACGAACGCUGGCGGCGUGCUUAACACAUGCAAGUCGAACGGAAACUCCCUUGUUUUGGGGGGUGCGCGACUGGCGGACGGGUGAGCAACCCGUGAGUAACCUGCGCCUGAGGUUGAACUAACCUAAGGCAACGGGGGCUACUAACAGAUACAACCUCCGCCUGCAUGGGGUGGGUAGGAUAGUUUCGGCGGUUGGGGAUGGACUCGCGGCUUAUCAGCUUGUUGGUGGGGUGGUGGCUUACCAAGGCUUUGACGGGUAGCCGGCCUGAGAGGGUGACCGGCCACAUUGGGACUGAGAUACGGCCCAGACUCCUACGGGAGGCAGCGGUGGGGAAUAUUGCACAAUGGGCGGAAGCCUGAUGCAGCAACGCCGCGUGCGGGAUGACGGCCUUCGGGUUGUAAACCGCUUUCGCCUGUGACGAAGCGUGAGUGACGGUAAUGGGUAAAGAAGCACCGGCUAACUACGUG
Molecule: ribosomal RNA, 468 nt
Filed under: uncultured bacterium
Lineage: Bacteria
Description: partial 16S ribosomal RNA
Rfam family: Bacterial small subunit ribosomal RNA
Source: RNAcentral